RNAcentral lists this ribosomal RNA (415 nucleotides) under uncultured bacterium. RNAcentral describes it as "bacterial SSU rRNA". It matches the Rfam family "Bacterial small subunit ribosomal RNA", at positions 355 to 767 of the family's 1533-position model. The record is from RNAcentral.
UGAGGAAUAUUGGGCAAUGCCCGCAAGGGUGACCCAGCAACGCCGCGUGGAGGAUGAAUGUCGUAAGAUUGUAAACUCCUGUUAGAGGGGAAGAAUAGUACCGGUUGGACCGGUAUAUGACUGUACCCUCAGAGAAAGCCCCGGCUAACUACGUGCCAGCAGCCGCGGUAAUACGUAGGGGGCAAGCGUUGUCCGGAUUUACUGGGUGUAAAGGGCGCGCAGGCGGGAUAAAAAGUCAGUGGUGAAAUCCUACAGCUUAACUGUAGAACUGCCUUUGAUACUUUUAUUCUUGAGUUCGGGAGAGAGAGACGGAAUUCCAGGUGUAGUGGUGAAAUACGUAGAUAUCUGGAAGAACACCAGUUGCGAAGGCGGUCUCUUGGUCCGAUACUGACGCUGAGGCGCGAAAGCGUGGGGA